Molecule: long non-coding RNA, 1396 nt
Filed under: Phasianus colchicus (ring-necked pheasant)
Lineage: Eukaryota; Metazoa; Chordata; Aves; Galliformes; Phasianidae
Description: lncRNA (ENSPCLG00000004501.1)
Source: RNAcentral
AUGUGCUUUCGCGAUGAUGGCUUCUUGUUAUUUCAGCCUCUGUGCCCCAGCUUUCCUCCGAGGACCACUGUGGGGCCUGGCCCAGAAAAAGUGCUGCAUGAGAGCUGCAGCGUGAGAGCCAGCUGCAGCCAUGUCAUCACCAGCUUUCAUCAGCCCCAGCUCUGCUGUCACCAUGGUUCUGGAAGCGCUCAGGUCACCUCGCUCCCGGUUGCUCUGACACAAAAGCAACAAGACACCGAGGGCUGCUUUGAGAAAAAGAAGCUGAAAUCCUACAGGAGAGCAAAUAGCGCAAAAGGGAGGCCCCCCCACUGCUGUCAACCCGUGUUAUGGCUCAACAGAUCCUGCCUUGUGAUUCUGCCCAGUGAGGAUGCCCUGUGGCAUAAGCUCACCAUAUGACUGCAUGCUGUGCACAUUGAGGUAACCAUGUGGAAGAGCUAAUUACAAGACAGGAAAUUAGAGCACGAGCUCAGAGGAAGCAAUCUUUCAGCAUGCAGCAAACCCAACCAUGCAGUACUUAGCAAGUGUGUCUCUGGAAAGAAAACUGUCUGCAUCAGAAGUACAUGGGCUAAAAAUCUCCCUUUCUCUCUCAACUUCUGCUGUUGCACAGCUCAGUGGAAGUCUAAGCAACAUUGUCUAAGAUAAAUAGGAGCCUCCCUCAUUAACAGUUCAGCAGGAUGCUCAAGCACACUCUUAAAUUUAGGCUCAUGGGUGAUCUUAACGACUUCAACAGGAUGGCUUGCAUACUUUUUAUUAGGCAUGUGAGUGAGAACCUUGCUGAGUCACAUCCAGAAGGUUCAUACUUUCUUCAAGAUCAAAGGCAGCAUGCUAGCUCCUACAGCCGAAUCCACAUGGCUGCACAUUAUUUGCUUUACACUGACUACAUUUGAGUGGGAUGAAGUCCAAUCUGCAAGCCAAAUUAAGCUCUCUCCCUCUUGUGUUCUUCUGUAUUUAUUUCUUUUUUUGUUGUUGAGCAUAUCAGCAGAAGAAGCUGACUUUUGACAAUGCAGAGAUUUGCAAAUGAAAUGCUGGAAUAGUUUGCAAGUUGCUACAGCACUAAAAUACUAAAAGGCAAUCUGCAAUACGGCUAAGUGAGAUGUUAAGAGAGUUAGAAUAAUGUUUUCACUGGCACUAAGACACCUAUGAUCCCCCACCCUGAGGUUUAGAAAGAUGAAAGUACACUCUGCCAGACAGCAAUUCCUUUUGACUUGAGAGUCUACAUUUACUACUGUUUGCUUUGAAAUCUCUAUAGCAGAAGGACAGAAUAGCAAAACAUCUUUGAAAUAUCUUCCUCUUCUGACCUGCCCCCAUCCAAAUUAUCACCAAAGCAAAGGCUGCACGCACCACUCUCCCUAGCUCAAAGAGGAGCUCAAACAAUGUCACUGUCACAAGAAAAUGG